Molecule: long non-coding RNA, 2612 nt
Organism: Salvia miltiorrhiza (redroot sage)
Lineage: Eukaryota; Viridiplantae; Streptophyta; Magnoliopsida; Lamiales; Lamiaceae
Exons: 3
Source: RefSeq, a predicted model, not a curated record
CACACCAUCCAGAACCUUCCCCUUUUCAAGAUCCAAUCACAGCCGUCCGAUCAUUCCACCAAAACUUUACAUACGAUUCACAAGUCAACAUUACGACGCCGUUUAGCCUUAUCCAGCCGUUGGAAAUAUCUCCCUCGCACUCAUUCUCAGCCGUUGGAUCAUCAACCCCCCUCAAUAAAUACACUCUUUUAUCUUUUCAUUUCAUCACAGCCAGUCUUCCAUUCAUUUCUGUAGCCGCCUAGAUCUGCAGGCUUGUCUUCUCUUUCUUCACGCCGGAUUUGUCCUCUUCUUGUUUUUUCCGUCAGAUUCGUUUAGAUCGUGAGGCGAUCUACGUUUUGAAUAUGGAUUUUCCCUGUUUUGUUAUGCCUUCGAUUUUCCGCCUGUUGAUGUGUCGGUCGCCUGGUUUGGGUAGAUCUGAGGCUGUGAAACGCCGAGGUUUGGGUAGAUCUGCAGCUUUGUUGGGCGGAUAGAUCGAAUCGGUGAAGAUUCGGUUUUGCGUGAUGGAUUGGAAACAUCAAUUUCGUGGAUCUGGAAACGCGAAGGCAUCUUCAGAAGACACGAUCAUUUGAAGGUGGAUGCUGACCGGUAUGGCUUUCGUCGCGAGUUUUAUCUACGAGGCACCGGUGGACCGACCAAGUGGUUUUAAGGGAAGUGAAUUGUUUUAUGUUGUGUUAUUUCAUGCAUUCUUGUUGUCUGUGUAGACUCGACGAAUUGUUGAGAAUAACAGACUGUAAAAAAAAUGGAAAAAUGAGUGAGCGGAGUGAGGUGAGAUUUAGUUGUCUGCAUGACCUUUGCCAUGAUGGGUGCGCUCGCAUGGCAGGUCGCCCUUUUAAUAAAAAUUAUCAUUUUUUGGUUUUGAGGGGAGAUGGUACGGGGCAUUGCCCGGCUUCUCCCCCUGUGUGUGGUGUCCUCUCGUUCUAUUCUUUCUCUUUCCCUCUCCCCUCUCUCCUUUUGUCUCUUCUACCUACUAUGCACGCAUACAACGUUCAAUUCCAGCAAUUCAAUCAUGCCAUAUUUGUUUUGUCUUGAAUGGGUUGUGUGCUGUUUAAUAUUAUACACAACCUAUUCAAGGUCAAAGCAAUGAACGAACUUUGGGAAUCAAGCAAUAUUGAGGCUUCAAUCUUCUUCACAGCAUCCACUACAACAGAGGUACCAAUUUGCACUUUCUCAAUAUUUAGUUCACUUUAUAAUCAUUAUAUUCUUAACUUGCAACUAACUGUUUUGAUCAGAAUCUGUUAUCCAAUAAUUUCUUGAUUUACUAGCUCAAUUUUUCUAACUACAAUUGUUGUCGGUUCCCGAAAUAGCGUUUAUCUUAAGCCUGUUUUUAUCCAAUCUUUUUAUUAUUGCCCUAAAAAAGUUUCUAAUUAAAUAUCAUUGUGUAAAUUAUUUUGACUUGCUUUUUGUUGGGAAGCACAAAACAAAUGAAAUAAAUUUUGCAUUCGUAGCUUAAAACAUCUAAACUUUCCUUGUGCUUAAUUGGAAAUUUACAUUUAUCAUCUCAAUGUCAAUGGGAUAUACUAGAGUUUCAUAAUUGCUAUUAUCCAAAUAUAAACAUGAAGAUAAUAUUACUCGUCUAAAGAUAAGUGAUAUGGUUUCUUGAAAAUACUAGAGAACUGUAAAUCCUACAUCAUUGCAAUCAUUUUUCAGUAGAACUCACAAAAUCAACAUCUGGGAAUACGAUGCAUUUGUUCAAAUAUAUUUAGUUGUUUUGGUAUACUUAUCACUUGUCACUUUGUACAACACAUGCUAUAUCUGUUUUGCUAGUUUUCCCUCUGUUGAGGGGGGUCUAGCUAUUGCUUUAGAUUAUUAAUGAUGUAUUCUGGUUUAUUAUUGGCCAUCUGUAUGGUUGAAGGGACUGUGUCUUUGUGUAGUAUAGUUUAAAGCUAUAGCAUGGUUGUAAUAGAUCAGCUAUUCAGUAUUCGGUUGGUUGCUCAUCGGAUUUGGAGCAAUCUUCGGGUGGAGUACUUCCUUGGCGUAUUUAUGUUACGACCUGUGAUACUUGUAGCUGACUGUUGUGAGGCUGCUUGUGUACAACGAUGUGAUGACUGCUGGUGCUGGUCUUGCUGCUGCUGCUGUUUCUGGGGUUUUUUGUUAUCUAUUGCUGUUGCUACUGCCGCUGCUUUGGAGCCUUAUGUGAUGGACUUCUUAUUUCAUGCGAAUGAAUGGAUAUUGGCGAUUGUUCUCAGUGAUGCUGUUUAUGCAUAUACUUGGUCGGUCUCCAAAUGUACUUGAAGAUAAUUUUCAAGGUGUGGUCAGGUUUUCACUCCUACGUGACAUGCAUGCUUUUUGAGGUGUAGAUCAUGACAAUAAUGCUCUAUGUUUAUGUUCGGUCUUUGUGCCGACAUACACUCAAAAGUAGAGUUUUAAAUCAAGUUUAUAUUAGUGUUUUAAGAAGUAAAUUACCUUAGUUAGAAUGGUCGUGUGGUUCAAGAUACAGCGGCUAAUUCAUGAAAGUUUUAAAUCAAGUUUAUAUUAGUGUUUUAAGAAGUAAAUUACCUUAGUUAGAAUGGUCGUGUGGUUCAAGAUACAGCGGCUAAUUCAUGAAAAACAUCGUAGUUUGUUUGUUUGGCCUAUUUUUAAAAUUAAUUUCGACUUCAUACUAUUUGGAAACA